UGAUGUCAUCAGUCAUGCCUAAAUAAUGAAGCCUCCAUAAAAUCUCAAAAGGAUGGGAUUUGGAGAACUUCUGGAAUGCUGAGCAUGUGGAGGUGCCUGGAGAGGGCAUGGAAGCUCCACAUGCCUGCCCACAUACUUUGCACUGUGCAUCCCUUCCAUCUGGCUGUUCAUCUUUUUGAGGAAGCUGUGCUGGGAGAGUGGCUGUAUUGGAGGUGUUUCCAUUUUGAAACUACAUCUCUUAACUAAACGAGUUGAUUAGAGAAAUGAGCAAAUUAACAAGGUCAAAAGAAGGUCUUCCCUGAAGGCACAGACUUGAAGUGUUCAGCUGAUGGAGAGCCGAAUGCUAUGACAACCAGGUCCCAAGGAACUUCAGAAUCUCCAAAUGGAAGUCUCCAAAGCCCCUGAUUCACCAGAAAGAGAGAGAACCAUCCACUGGCCACCACACUGUUAUACGAGCAGAACACAAACUCCUGUUGUGUUUGAGCCUUUAAACAUUCUGGGCAGCAGAUUACCCUCUUUAAUAUACAAAAUGAUGCCUCAAAUAUGCCUACAAACAAGUAAAA
This is a long non-coding RNA of Gorilla gorilla gorilla (western lowland gorilla), 563 nucleotides long. RefSeq lists it as uncharacterized. The record is from RefSeq and is a predicted model, not a curated record. The transcript is spliced from 4 exons. Lineage: Eukaryota; Metazoa; Chordata; Mammalia; Primates; Hominidae.